GUACAGCUGAAGAGUCCCAAACUAGGACGAAACAGCUGUCCAGUAC
This 46-nucleotide non-coding RNA is filed under the name Trichobilharzia regenti. The record is from RNAcentral. Lineage: Eukaryota; Metazoa; Platyhelminthes; Trematoda; Strigeidida; Schistosomatidae.